GUAUAGUUUAGUUAGUAGGUUAAAGUCAAGGUAAGAAUUCUUUGAUUUUCUAGGGGACGAUAAGACCCUAGAAGUUUUAAAAAAGAAAAAUUUUUAGUAGGAGCAUAGUUUUUUUACUGGGGCGGUAUUAGUGCUUUAACUACUAAUAAUAAAGGUUGAUCCUUAAUAUAAAGAUAAUUCGGUGAAGUUACUCUAGGGGUAACAGUGCGGUAUUUUUGGAGAGGUCUUAUUAAUAAAAAUGUUCGCAACCUCGAUGUUGAAUUAAGAUGUCUACGUGGGGUAGUAAAUAUGAUAGAGGGUUUGUUCAACCUUUAUAGUCUUACAUG
RNAcentral lists this ribosomal RNA (326 nucleotides) under Gammarus cf. fossarum 1FR2. Its description in RNAcentral is "partial large subunit ribosomal RNA". It matches the Rfam family "Bacterial large subunit ribosomal RNA", at positions 2046 to 2602 of the family's 2925-position model. Lineage: Eukaryota; Metazoa; Arthropoda; Malacostraca; Amphipoda; Gammaridae. The record is from RNAcentral.